GACGAACGCUGGCGGCGUGCUUAACACAUGCAAGUCGAACGGAAAGGCCCUGCUUUUGUGGGGUGCUCGAGUGGCGAACGGGUGAGUAACACGUGAGUAACCUGCCCUUGACUUUGGGAUAACUUCAGGAAACUGGGGCUAAUACCGGAUAGGAGCUCCUGCUGCAUGGUGGGGGUUGGAAAGUUUCGGCGGUUGUGGAUGGACUCGCGGCUUAUCAGCUUGUUGGUGGGGUAGUGGCUUACCAAGGCUUUGACGGGUAGCCGGCCUGAGAGGGUGACCGGCGACAAUGGGACUGAGAUACGGACCAGACUGCUACGGGAGGCAGCAGUGGGGAAUAUUGCACAAUGGGCGGAAGCCUGAUGCAGCAACGCCGCGUGCGGGAUGACGGCCUUCGGGUUGUAAACCGCUUUCGCCUGUGACGAAGCGUGAGUGACGGUAAUGGGUAAAGAAGCACCGGCUAACUACGUG
This 468-nucleotide ribosomal RNA is filed under the name uncultured bacterium. RNAcentral describes it as "partial 16S ribosomal RNA". It matches the Rfam family "Bacterial small subunit ribosomal RNA", at positions 28 to 507 of the family's 1533-position model. The record is from RNAcentral.